Molecule: long non-coding RNA, 299 nt
Filed under: Homo sapiens (human)
Lineage: Eukaryota; Metazoa; Chordata; Mammalia; Primates; Hominidae
Description: HSALNT0100215
Source: RNAcentral
UCAGGACUGUAGGAGCAAUGUUGCUUGGAAUUGGAGUCUCCUCCAAAGAAAGCACAGCUCACACAGAUCUUAGUGAGAAAUAGCAACAAUAACUGCCACCAUCAUGCCCCUGCCACGUGGCAGGCUCCGGGGUACACCCUUUCCAGGCAUUACUCCAUUGGCAGCAAGCAUAUAAGUGGGGCUAUUAUGAUCUUCACUUUAAGGACAAGAGGAACAAGGCCACAGAGAAUCCUGAUUUUGUUUGGAAGGACAGCGUGCCUGGUUCCAGGUAAUUGAUCAUGAUGAGUCGAAGCUGGAGG